Molecule: transfer RNA, 73 nt
Filed under: Rattus norvegicus (Norway rat)
Lineage: Eukaryota; Metazoa; Chordata; Mammalia; Rodentia; Muridae
Rfam family: tRNA
About the family: Transfer RNA (tRNA) molecules are approximately 80 nucleotides in length. Their secondary structure includes four short double-helical elements and three loops (D, anti-codon, and T loops).
Source: Rfam by way of RNAcentral
GGAGAUUUAGCUCAAUGGUAGAGUGCUUGCUUGCCUAGCAAAUGCAAGGCCCUGGGUUCGAUCCCCAGCUCCA